UUUUGGUCUGAAUAAAUGAAAAAUGAUAAAGGAAGAUAGGCGUAGCAAAAGGCUGAAUAGGUUGGAAACAAGAUUAUGUAGAACAAAUAAGUAAUGAGAUCGGGCCUUGGAACGAACCCAGGCGAUAAGACAAUAGAUCGGGAAUUAAGAUAAGUUUGGAUCCCGGCCGAGCGGCAAAAGAGAUCGGAUGCUGCAAAUCAAAGAAUUCUGAUAAAGCGAUCAUGCGGGAGAUCGGCAAGGAGUUCGGUCGUUCGUCCACCUUCUAGUUAAAAGGUCCCGUAGGCUAGGAAAAGCUUUACACAGGGGUUCCUAUGUCUUCGGUACUCCAUGCCGACAAAAAGGGGUCAAGAGGGACCUUUUACCUGAAUCCUUAGUUCAAAGUUCUUAUAAACACGACAUUCUAAUAAAUACAUUAAGAGAUCAAAGGAGACUUCUUACCCGAGCUCAGCCUAAUUUUUAACGCAAUAUAGAGAUCGGAGGAGAGUUCUUACCUGAGCUCAGCCUAAUUUUUAACGCAAUAUAGAGAUCGGAGGAGAGUUCUUACCU
Molecule: unclassified non-coding RNA, 546 nt
Filed under: Hevea brasiliensis (rubber tree)
Lineage: Eukaryota; Viridiplantae; Streptophyta; Magnoliopsida; Malpighiales; Euphorbiaceae
Source: RNAcentral